ACUUUAGAGACCAACUAAGUUUGUUCUGGGUAUAAGUUUUCGUGUGCAUGCACACUUCACAAAAGCUUAUACCCAGAACAAACUUAGUUGGUCUCCAAGGU
Podarcis lilfordi (Lilford's wall lizard) is the source of this 101-nucleotide non-coding RNA. NCBI's taxonomy places the organism in Eukaryota, Metazoa, Chordata, Lepidosauria, Squamata, Lacertidae. The record is from the annotation of a GenBank genome assembly.